This 395-nucleotide ribosomal RNA is filed under the name Hemidactylus sp. 5 JS-2013. RNAcentral's name for it is "partial 12S ribosomal RNA". It matches the Rfam family "Bacterial small subunit ribosomal RNA", at positions 794 to 1384 of the family's 1533-position model. Lineage: Eukaryota; Metazoa; Chordata; Lepidosauria; Squamata; Gekkonidae. The record is from RNAcentral.
GCUUAGAAGUAAACCAAGGCAGCAAUCCCACCCCACUGCCCGCCAGAGUACUACAAGCGAAAAGCUUAAAACUCAAAGGACUUGACGGCAUUCCACACCACACUAGAGGAGCCUGUCCUAUAAUCGAUAACCCACGUUCAACCCCACCUGUUCUCGCACAAAUCUCAGCCUAUAUACCGCCGUCUACAGCCCGCCUUACAAAAGACCUCACAGCGAGCAAACCAGUCUAACACUAACACGUCAGGUCAAGGUGUAGCUAACGAACAGGAAGAGAUGGGCUACAUUUUCUAUCAAAAAAAGAAAACUACCGUCCGCACCAUGAAACAGGCACACAAAGGAGGAUUUAGCAGUAAGCCACGCAAGCCUGCCUGACUGAACCCAGCCCUGGAAUGUGU